Molecule: ribosomal RNA, 459 nt
Filed under: Prevotella sp. oral taxon 376
Lineage: Bacteria; Pseudomonadati; Bacteroidota; Bacteroidia; Bacteroidales; Prevotellaceae
Description: bacterial SSU rRNA
Rfam family: Bacterial small subunit ribosomal RNA
Source: RNAcentral
GAUGAACGCUAGCUACAGGCUUAACACAUGCAAGUCGAGGGGCAUCAUGUCGGUUGCUUGCAACCGAUGAUGGCGACCGGCGAAUGGGUGAGUAACGCGUAUCCAACCUGCCCCCGGCCGGGGUAUAACCCGUCGAAAGGCGGCCUAAUCCCCCAUGCAGUCCUCUGAGGUCCUCCGAUGAGGAUGAAAGGUAUUUUUCCGGCCGGUCGAUGGGGAUGCGUCCGAUUAGCUUGCUGGCGGGGUAACGGCCCACCAGGGCUUCGAUCGGUAGGGGUUCUGAGAGGAAGGUCCCCCACACUGGUACUGAGACACGGACCAGACUCCUACGGGAGGCAGCAGUGAGGAAUAUUGGUCAAUGGGCGGAAGCCUGAACCAGCCAAGUAGCGUGCAGGAUGACGGCCCUAUGGGGUUGUAAAACUGCUUUUGCGCGGGGAUAAAAUGGGGAAACGGUUCCCCCUU